AGAGACAGCAGCAGCCGCGGUAAUACAGAGGAUGCAAGCGUUAUCCGGAAUGAUUGGGCGUAAAGCGUCUGUAGGUGGCUUUUCAAGUCCGCCGUCAAAUCCCAGGGCUCAACCGUGGACAGGCGGUGGAAACUACCAAGCUGGAGUACGGUAGAGGCAGAGGGAAUUUCCGAUGGAGCGGUGAAAUGCGUUGAGAUCGGAAAGAACACCAACGGAGAAAGCACUCUGCUGGGCCGACACUGACACUGAGAGACGAAAUCUAGGGGAGCAAAUGGGAUUAGAUACCCCAGUAGUCCCUGUCUCUUAUAC
This 309-nucleotide ribosomal RNA is filed under the name uncultured bacterium. Its description in RNAcentral is "partial 16S ribosomal RNA". It matches the Rfam family "Bacterial small subunit ribosomal RNA", at positions 504 to 807 of the family's 1533-position model. The record is from RNAcentral.